RNAcentral lists this non-coding RNA (89 nucleotides) under chicken gut metagenome. The record is from RNAcentral.
AUAGGGGAGCUGAUCGUAUCGGCUGAGAGUAAGGCACAGCCUUUGACCCGGAACCUGAUCUGGAUAAUGCCAGCGUAGGUAUAGAAAAG